RNAcentral lists this ribosomal RNA (253 nucleotides) under uncultured bacterium. Its description in RNAcentral is "partial 16S ribosomal RNA". It matches the Rfam family "Bacterial small subunit ribosomal RNA", at positions 524 to 776 of the family's 1533-position model. The record is from RNAcentral.
UACAGAGGGGGCAAGCGUUGUUCGGAAUUACUGGGCGUAAAGGGCGCGUAGGCGGCCUGCUAAGUCGAACGUGAAAUCCCCGAGCUCAACUCGGGAACUGCGUCCGAUACUGGCAGGCUUGAAUCCGGGAGAGGGAUGCGGAAUUCCAGGUGUAGCGGUGAAAUGCGUAGAUAUCGGGAGGAAUACCGAUGGCGAAGGCAGGUCUCUGGGCUAUAACUGACGCUCAUGCACGAAAGCGUGGGGAGCAAACAGG